CAGAGUCUGACGGAGCACGCCGCGUGAGUGAUGAAGGCUUUCGGGUCGUAAAACUCUGUUGUUAGGGAAGAACAAGUGCUAGUUGAAUAAGCUGGCACCUUGACGGUACCUAACCAGAAAGCCACGGCUAACUACGUGCCAGCAGCCGCGGUAAUACGUAGGUGGCAAGCGUUAUCCGGAAUUAUUGGGCGUAAAGCGCGCGCAGGUGGUUUCUUAAGUCUGAUGUGAAAGCCCACGGCUCAACCGUGGAGGGUCAUUGGAAACUGGGAGACUUGAGUGCAGAAGAGGAAAGUGGAAUUCCAUGUGUAGCGGUGAAAUGCGUAGAGAUAUGGAGGAACACCAGUGGCGAAGGCGACUUUCUGGUCUGUAACUGACACUGAGGCGCGAAAGCGUGGGGAGCAAACAGGAUUAGAUACCC
Molecule: ribosomal RNA, 418 nt
Filed under: Bacillus toyonensis
Lineage: Bacteria; Bacillati; Bacillota; Bacilli; Caryophanales; Bacillaceae
Description: bacterial SSU rRNA
Rfam family: Bacterial small subunit ribosomal RNA
Source: RNAcentral